AAUCAAGAAAAACGAACUCAAAUAAACCCAACAUUGAGAUUCAAGAGAAACAAAAUCAAACUACCACUCACCGAUACAAAAAACCACCAAAAGAUGCAGAAUCAGAAUCGAUGCUCUCAAAACUUCAGAUAGAGCAGAACGAAGAGGUGGAAGGCGAGCGGGAAGAGAACAGAAAUUGAAAUUGAAAACGAUAACAGAAAUUGAAAACUUACCAUGAAGGAGAGCGAAACGAUUCAACUCCGAUUAACACUGUUCUCUGAUCUCCUCUUCCUCUCUUCCUCUCUCUUCCAAAUCGCCUCUUUCUCUCUCUCCCUACGAUUUCUCUGAUCACCUCUUCCCAAUCGCCUCUUUCUCUCUCUCCCUACGAUUGAAAACCAAGCUUUCCGCAUCCACCCCCUCUCUCCGCUGCUGCUCUUCUCUCUCACCUGUGGCAAGAAGUCGCGAGAAGACUCGCGAAAGGGCAAAGGAAGAAAAAGCCCAUGCCCGAGCGACAUGCAGCCCAAGCCCGAGCGAGACUGCACUGUUCUGAAAAACAGUACCUCCGCUGACGUCAUCUCAACAAAUAUAUAUAUGGUAUAAUUGGCAAAUCACGUAUUCAUUCAACUGUAAAUUCGAUUCAUGUUUAAAAAAUUGUAAAUCUAAAUUUGUUGAUAGAAUAGCUAACUAACCUACAUAACUGAUACUAAACAUCAAACACCAUAAAAUCUUGAUAGAAACUAUUGAAAAAGAAUAAUUACGACAAAGAUUCUGUAUGCACUAAUUAGUUAUAAGUUCCAUUUGAUUUGGAUGACUUCACUUUUGGUGUAUAUAGUUUAUUCUCAUCACUAAAAUUUUCUGUUGCUGAAUUCAACUGGACCUUGCGACAUAAGCCAAUGUGUUUUUUCAAUAUUUUCAAAAAGCACAGAAACAUGUUCAGUAAAUACCACUCGAGGAAUCUUGUUAUUCAUGGCUACAAAUUUCAAUUAAAUUUUUAGAGCUCUAACUUUAAUUUAUUAUCAGCCCCGAAACAGCAAAUUUGUUAUCAGCAAAUUGAAGGAAAAUUGGUUCAUUUCUUACAUAACUUGAAGUCCUGACAGAGCACACAUAAUUUAAACAGUGAAGAUACAAAAAAAGACGCACUAAGCUCGAAGUCCUGACAUGAAAUUAGAGGAAACUGAUAGGCAAG
RNAcentral lists this long non-coding RNA (1165 nucleotides) under Fragaria vesca (wild strawberry). RNAcentral's name for it is "long non-coding RNA (FVES_LNC004000)". The record is from RNAcentral. Lineage: Eukaryota; Viridiplantae; Streptophyta; Magnoliopsida; Rosales; Rosaceae.